Pelobates cultripes (western spadefoot toad) is the source of this 221-nucleotide non-coding RNA. NCBI's taxonomy places the organism in Eukaryota, Metazoa, Chordata, Amphibia, Anura, Pelobatidae. The record is from the annotation of a GenBank genome assembly.
CUACCAGAAAAGAAUAUAUAUUUUUGUACAAUACAAUAUAAAUAGUACAAAUUGUGCUGCCCCAAUUAAACGCCAAACAAGAAAUACAUUAUAAAUAAAACAAUCAGGGUUGGACAAAAUAGUGUUCUUAGUUCAUUCAGAAAAAAAAAUGAAUCUUAUUUUACACAUAAUCUUACUUAAUAAAUGUUUUAUUGCGUAAAAGCCCAGGAAAUGGCCAUUUG